AUUGUCAUUUCACAUUACAGACGUCGAAUCAAUUAUCAUUUCACAUUACAGGUGUCGAACCAAUUGUCGUUUCACAUUAUAAGUGUUAAACCACUUGUUGUUUCACAUUACAGGCGUCAAACCACUUAUCUUUUCACAUCAUCAGUCGUCAAGCCGCUUGCCUUUUAACAUUGUAAGGGCUAAGCUAGAAAUCUUCUAUAAAUAGAAGCCUAGUUCUUCAUUAUUUUUCACCAAUUCAUUCAAGCUAUAGAGAGAGAAAGUAUAGAGAGAAUAAGAGAGAAAGAAGAAGAGUAUUCUGUUACUACACUAUUGCAGUAUCCAAUCUCCUACCAAGGUAAGGGGUAUUAUUUCUUUCGUAUUAAUGAAGAGAGUUAUUUCUUUCAAUACUCGUAAGGGUUGUUAUUCCAUUCUUUAUCAUUCUGUUGGAAUAACCUGUCUAUGUAACGCCCCAGAAAAUCGAACCUUUGUAAAUACUUUUAUUAAUAAAUAAAAUAAUAUUAUUUAUUAUUAUUACGUAUGGAUAAGAUGAAUGUCGUUCUAUAACCUAGAAACGUUGGAAUGUCGUAGUAUUUUAACUACGUGAGAGAAUUAAAGUGUUUGAAUUUUUAAGACUAAAAUAAAAGCUUUCGGAGAAAUUUUCCAAAAAACACUAUUCAUCAAUUUCUGCUCGGGAAUUAUUUUUGAAUUUCUGAGAAAUACGUAACGUUAUAAUAUCAAGGUGAGAUGGAUUGUGUAAUAAUAAUCUAAUUAUGAAAAACGUAAUAUUUCUCAUGCGGACUUAAUUUUGGAACGUUAGGUUUAUUAAGCGUUAAAGGAAGAAAGUUGUGAUCGUAUAAUGUGUAUUCAUUAUAUGAAAGUAAUGAAUGUAAGUAUAAUACGACGUAUUGUACUAUUAUGUAUGAAGAAUGAGAUAACGUAUAUUAUGAAUUAAUAUACGAAUUAGCAUACGAAGAUUAUACGUGGUGUAUAUAUGUUAAGUUGUUAAUUAAAUGUAAUAGACUUGUAGGAUUAUUAACCUAAUAGUAUAAGUCCAAUAGAAUGUGACAAUCAAGCCCAAGUGUUUGAUAAGUCUGAAAGUAAUAUGCACACAAGCCAAUCAUGUUUGAUGAUAAAGUAUAUACUUUGUAACAAUCUUAUUCAUUUAUUAAUAAAAAUUAUUAAUUUAUUAAAGGCUUUUAAUUAUCUACAUGAUGUUGUUUUAUAAUAUGUG
This 1210-nucleotide long non-coding RNA is filed under the name Panax ginseng (ginseng). Its description in RNAcentral is "long non-coding RNA (PGIN_LNC018135)". The record is from RNAcentral. Lineage: Eukaryota; Viridiplantae; Streptophyta; Magnoliopsida; Apiales; Araliaceae.